Molecule: long non-coding RNA, 370 nt
Organism: Cervus elaphus (red deer)
Lineage: Eukaryota; Metazoa; Chordata; Mammalia; Artiodactyla; Cervidae
Exons: 6
Source: RefSeq, a predicted model, not a curated record
CAAAAACAGUUGGCCUGACUUUUUGAUGAUGGCUACAUGUUUUUUUCUAUGGAUGACUUCUUUGGGGUGUGAAGAGAGGUAGUGACUACAAUGCAAGGAAUGAGGAGUUCUAACCAAAGGCAGAUGUUCUGUUGUCCUGAAGAUUCAAGGGCAUUUAUGAUACCAGUCAGACAUAACAGGCAGCCAGAUGGAUGCAUGUGGGAUAGAAGAUCAAACAACUAUUAAUUGGCUCCUGCUCUGCACAGCCUGUGGGAUCCUAGCUUCCUGACAAGGGAUCAGACCUGUGGCUGCUGCAGUUGAAGCUCAGCCCUAACCAUUGGACCACCAGGAAAUUCUCCAGCUUUCUAUUGUAAUAAAGAUUUAUAAAUCA